GGGGGCGAAAAUGGUUUCGACGGGGAUCACGGAAGCAGGAUAAGCGAGCCGCAGGACCGGACUGCGUAAUAACUGGAACCUAAACAAUAACUGAGAACAAGAAUUUUGUUCCCGUCGCUGCCUAAUUAGGCAGUGACUGUCUGCCUCCGGAGGCCCACGACCGGUACGCAGGCAUCAUUAGCGUGGGGAACCAGCCCGCUUAAGCUUUGCGGCGGGUGGGAUUUAUGAAGCUACCAAAGCGCCGACCCUGUUGAUGGGGGCUCGUAGAGGGAAAUUCAAAGCAUCAACUACGCUCGUAGAAGGUCUUGUGGACGGGUUUUCGGACGGGAGUUCGACUCUCCCCGCCUCCACCA
RNAcentral lists this transfer-messenger RNA (353 nucleotides) under Christensenellaceae bacterium OttesenSCG-928-L17. It matches the Rfam family "transfer-messenger RNA". From Rfam's summary of the family: Bacterial tmRNA, also known as 10Sa RNA or SsrA, is named for its dual tRNA and mRNA-like properties. Its role is to liberate the mRNA from a stalled ribosome. The record is from RNAcentral. Lineage: Bacteria; Bacillati; Bacillota; Clostridia; Christensenellales; Christensenellaceae.